Molecule: ribosomal RNA, 440 nt
Filed under: uncultured bacterium
Lineage: Bacteria
Description: partial 16S ribosomal RNA
Rfam family: Bacterial small subunit ribosomal RNA
Source: RNAcentral
CCUACGGGAGGCAGCAGUGGGGGAUAUUGCACAAUGGGGGAAACCCUGAUGCAGCGACGCCGCGUGAGUGAAGAAGUAUUUCGGUAUGUAAAGCUCUAUCAGCAGGGAAGAAAAUGACAGUACCUGACCAAGAAGCCCCGGCUAACUACGUGCCAGCAGCCGCGGUAAUACGUAGGGGGCAAGCGUUAUCCGGAUUUACUGGGUGUAAAGGGAGCGUAGACGGUUAUGUAAGUCUGGAGUGAAAGCCCGGGGCCCAACCCCGGGACUGCUUUGGAAACUGUGUAACUGGAGUACAGGAGGGGCAGGCGGAAUUCCUGGUGUAGCGGUGAAAUGCGUAGAUAUCAGGAGGAACACCGGUGGCGAAGGCGGCUUACUGGACAGUGACUGACGUUGAGGCUCGAAAGCGUGGGGAGCGAACAGGAUUAGAUACCCCUGUAGUC